GUCCACGCCCUAAACUAUGUCAACUAGUUGUCGGGGAAGCAAUUCCUUGGUAACGAAGCUAACGCGUGAAGUUGACCGCCUGGGGAGUACGGUCGCAAGAUUAAAACUCAAAGGAAUUGACGGGGGCCCGCACAAGCGGUGGAUGAUGUGGAUUAAUUCGAUGCAACGCGAAAAACCUUACCUACCCUUGACAUGGCAGGAAGCCGGAUGAGAGUUCGGUGUGCUCGAAAGAGAACCUGCACACAGGUGCUGCAUGGCUGUCGU
Molecule: ribosomal RNA, 264 nt
Filed under: uncultured bacterium
Lineage: Bacteria
Description: partial 16S ribosomal RNA
Rfam family: Bacterial small subunit ribosomal RNA
Source: RNAcentral